Molecule: long non-coding RNA, 270 nt
Organism: Oreochromis niloticus (Nile tilapia)
Lineage: Eukaryota; Metazoa; Chordata; Actinopteri; Cichliformes; Cichlidae
Exons: 2
Source: RefSeq, a predicted model, not a curated record
UUUACAGAGUUCCUUUCAAGAGAAACACAGAACGUGUAAAGCAACUGCGACAUGACUAUGUGCAGAGAGUGAUGGAACUAGAAGCAGAUGCAAUGGGACAUGAGCUACUUUUUGUGGAUGAGGCCGGUUUUAACCUCAGUAAAACCAGGAGACGUGGCAGGAACAUUAUUGGACACCGUGCCAUCAUCAAUGUCCCAGGACAACGUGGUGGUAACAUAACCAUGUGUGCAGCUAUAAGCCAAAAUGGUGUUGUUCACCAUCAUGCAACCA